UGGGGAAUAUUGCACAAUGGGCGCAAGCCUGAUGCAGCCAUGCCGCGUGUGUGAAGAAGGCCUUCGGGUUGUAAAGCACUUUCAGCGAGGAGGAAGGUGGGUGAACUUAAUACGUUCAUCAAUUGACGUUACUCGCAGAAGAAGCACCGGCUAACUCCGUGCCAGCAGCCGCGGUAAUACGGAGGGUGCAAGCGUAAUCGGAAUUACUGGGCGUAAAGCGCACGCAGGCGGUUUGUUAAGUCAGAUGUGAAAUCCCCGGGCUCAACCUGGGAACUGCAUUUGAAACUGGCAAGCUAGAGUCUCGUAGAGGGGGGUAGAAUUCCAGGUGUAGCGGUGAAAUGCGUAGAGAUCUGGAGGAAUACCGGUGGCGAAGGCGGCCCCCUGGACGAAGACUGACGCUCAGGCUGCGAAAGCGUGGGGAGCAAACAGGAUUAGAUACCCUGGUAGUCCACGCUGUAAACGAUGUCGAUUUUGGCAGGUUGUGCCCUUGAGGCGUGGCUUCCGGAGCUAACGCGUUAAAGUCGACCGCCUGGGGGAGUACGGCCGCAAGGUU
RNAcentral lists this ribosomal RNA (553 nucleotides) under uncultured bacterium. Its description in RNAcentral is "partial 16S ribosomal RNA". It matches the Rfam family "Bacterial small subunit ribosomal RNA", at positions 355 to 895 of the family's 1533-position model. The record is from RNAcentral.